AAACGUUGUUCGGAUUUACUGGGCGUAAAGCGCGUGUAGGCGGCUUUGCAAGUCGGAUGUGAAAUCCCACGGCUCAACCGUGGAAGUGCAUCCGAAACUGCAUCGCUGGAGUCUCGGAGAGGAAGGUGGAAUGCUUGGUGUAGAGGUGAAAUUCGUAGAUAUCAAGCAGAACACCUGCGGCGAAGGCGGCCUUCUGGACGAUGACUGACGCUGAGACGCGAAAGCGUGGGGAGCAAACAGG
RNAcentral lists this ribosomal RNA (241 nucleotides) under uncultured bacterium. RNAcentral describes it as "partial 16S ribosomal RNA". It matches the Rfam family "Bacterial small subunit ribosomal RNA", at positions 536 to 776 of the family's 1533-position model. The record is from RNAcentral.